AGUGGGAGGUGCUGAGCCGCCUGAUUUAUUCCGGUCCCAGAGGAGAAGGCGCCAGAACCCCGCGGGGUCUGAGCAGCCCAGCGUGCCCAUUCCAGCGCCCGCGUCCCCGCAGCAUGCCGCGCCCCCGCCUGCUGGCCGCGCUGUGCGGCGCGCUGCUCUGCGCCCCCAGCCUCCUCGUCGCCCUGGGCACUGAGGGAUCUGAGUAGGUCUGGGAUGGACAGGAAAGGGCAAAGUAGGGCGUGUGGUUUCCCUGCCCCUGUCCGGACCGCCGAUCCCAGGUGCGUGUGUCUCUGUCUCUCCUAGCCCCUCUCUCACACAUCACAUUCCCAUGGUGGCCUCAAGAAAGGCCCGGAAGCGCCAGGCUGGAGAUAACAGCCUCUUGCCCGUCGGCCCUGCGUCGGCCCUGGGGUACCAUGUGGCCACAACUGCUGUGGCCCCCUGUCCCCAAGACACUUCCCCUUGUCUCCCUGGUUGCCUCUCUUGCCCCUUGUCCUGAAGCCCAGCGACACAGAAGGGGGUGGGGCGGGUCUAUGGGGAGAAAGGGAGCGAGGUCAGAGGAGGGCAUGGGUUGGCAGGGUGGGCGUUUGGGGCCCUCUAUGCUGGCUUUUCACCCCAGAGGACACAGGCAG
RNAcentral lists this long non-coding RNA (629 nucleotides) under Homo sapiens (human). RNAcentral's name for it is "non-protein coding lnc-MFGE8-1:1". The record is from RNAcentral. Lineage: Eukaryota; Metazoa; Chordata; Mammalia; Primates; Hominidae.